RNAcentral lists this ribosomal RNA (724 nucleotides) under Acinetobacter baumannii Naval-81. RNAcentral describes it as "bacterial SSU rRNA". It matches the Rfam family "Bacterial small subunit ribosomal RNA", at positions 28 to 746 of the family's 1533-position model. Lineage: Bacteria; Pseudomonadati; Pseudomonadota; Gammaproteobacteria; Moraxellales; Moraxellaceae. The record is from RNAcentral.
AUUGAACGCUGGCGGCAGGCUUAACACAUGCAAGUCGAGCGGGGGAAGGUAGCUUGCUACCGGACCUAGCGGCGGACGGGUGAGUAAUGCUUAGGAGUCUGCCUAUUAGUGGGGGACAACAUCUCGAAAGGGAUGCUAAUACCGCAUACGUCCUACGGGAGAAAGCAGGGGAUCUUCGGACCUUGCGCUAAUAGAUGAGCCUAAGUCGGAUUAGCUAGUUGGUGGGGUAAAGGCCUACCAAGGCGACGAUCUGUAGCGGGUCUGAGAGGAUGAUCCGCCACACUGGGACUGAGACACGGCCCAGACUCCUACGGGAGGCAGCAGUGGGGAAUAUUGGACAAUGGGGGGAACCCUGAUCCAGCCAUGCCGCGUGUGUGAAGAAGGCCUUAUGGUUGUAAAGCACUUUAAGCGAGGAGGAGGCUACUUUAGUUAAUACCUAGAGAUAGUGGACGUUACUCGCAGAAUAAGCACCGGCUAACUCUGUGCCAGCAGCCGCGGUAAUACAGAGGGUGCGAGCGUUAAUCGGAUUUACUGGGCGUAAAGCGUGCGUAGGCGGCUUAUUAAGUCGGAUGUGAAAUCCCCGAGCUUAACUUGGGAAUUGCAUUCGAUACUGGUGAGCUAGAGUAUGGGAGAGGAUGGUAGAAUUCCAGGUGUAGCGGUGAAAUGCGUAGAGAUCUGGAGGAAUACCGAUGGCGAAAGCAGCCAUCUGGCCUAAUACUGACGC